This 205-nucleotide ribosomal RNA is filed under the name Vibrio cholerae. Its description in RNAcentral is "partial 23S ribosomal RNA". It matches the Rfam family "Bacterial large subunit ribosomal RNA", at positions 2388 to 2592 of the family's 2925-position model. Lineage: Bacteria; Pseudomonadati; Pseudomonadota; Gammaproteobacteria; Vibrionales; Vibrionaceae. The record is from RNAcentral.
UUCGAGCAGGUGCGAAAGCAGGUCAUAGUGAUCCGGUGGUUCUGUAUGGAAGGGCCAUCGCUCAACGGAUAAAAGGUACUCCGGGGAUAACAGGCUGAUACCGCCCAAGAGUUCAUAUCGACGGCGGUGUUUGGCACCUCGAUGUCGGCUCAUCACAUCCUGGGGCUGAAGUCGGUCCCAAGGGUAUGGCUGUUCGCCAUUUAAA